UCUUAGUACAUGUGUAUUUAACACGAUACCGCGUAUGGCUCAUUAUAACAGCUAAAAUUUACUUGAUUUUGACUUUUAUCCUACAUGGAUAACUGUGGUAAUUCUGGAGCUAAUACAUGCAUAAAAGAUAUUUUCUUUAUGGAAAUAUUGCGUAUAUUAGUAUUAAAACCAAGCAUUCUUCGGAAUGUUUUGUGUUGAAACUGAAUAUAUCUGCUAAUCGUAUGGUCUUGUACCGACGAUAUGUCAUUCAAGUGUCUGAUCUAUCAACUUUCUAUAUAAGUAUAUAGUACUUAUAUGGUUUUGACGGAUAACGGAGUAUUAGGGUACGACUCCGGAGAAAAUGCCUGAGAAACGGCGUUUACAUCCAAGGAAGGCAGCAGGCGCGAAAAUUACCCACUCUCAGUACGAGGAGGUAGUGACGAGAAAUGACAAGAUCUAUUCCUUCGGGGAUGGAUCAUUGGAAUGGUUUGAUUUUAAAAUCAUUAAAGAGUAUCAAUGAGAGGGCAAGUCUGGUGCCAG
This 519-nucleotide ribosomal RNA is filed under the name Nematoda environmental sample. RNAcentral describes it as "SSU rRNA". It matches the Rfam family "Eukaryotic small subunit ribosomal RNA", at positions 58 to 570 of the family's 1831-position model. Lineage: Eukaryota; Metazoa; Nematoda. The record is from RNAcentral.